AUUGAACGCUGGCGGCAGGCCUAACACAUGCAAGUCGAGCGGAUGAAGGGAGCUUGCUCCUGGAUUCAGCGGCGGACGGGUGAGUAAUGCCUAGGAAUCUGCCUGGUAGUGGGGGAUAACGUCCGGAAACGGGCGCUAAUACCGCAUACGUCCUGAGGGAGAAAGUGGGGGAUCUUCGGACCUCACGCUAUCAGAUGAGCCUAGGUCGGAUUAGCUAGUUGGUGGGGUAAAGGCCUACCAAGGCGACGAUCCGUAACUGGUCUGAGAGGAUGAUCAGUCACACUGGAACUGAGACACGGUCCAGACUCCUACGGGAGGCAGCAGUGGGGAAUAUUGGACAAUGGGCGAAAGCCUGAUCCAGCCAUGCCGCGUGUGUGAAGAAGGUCUUCGGAUUGUAAAGCACUUUAAGUUGGGAGGAAGGGCAGGAAGUUAAUACCUUGCUGUUUUGACGUUACCAACAGAAUAAGCACCGGCUAACUUCGU
Molecule: ribosomal RNA, 483 nt
Filed under: uncultured bacterium
Lineage: Bacteria
Description: partial 16S ribosomal RNA
Rfam family: Bacterial small subunit ribosomal RNA
Source: RNAcentral